This 468-nucleotide ribosomal RNA is filed under the name uncultured bacterium. RNAcentral's name for it is "partial 16S ribosomal RNA". It matches the Rfam family "Bacterial small subunit ribosomal RNA", at positions 28 to 507 of the family's 1533-position model. The record is from RNAcentral.
GACGAACGCUGGCGGCGUGCUUAACACAUGCAAGUCGAACGGAAAGGCCCUGCUUUUGUGGGGUGCUCGAGUGGCGAACGGGUGAGUAACACGUGAGUAACCUGCCCUUGACUUUGGGAUAACUUCAGGAAACUGGGGCUAAUACCGGAUAGGAGCUCCUGCUGCAUGGUGGGGGUUGGAAAGUUUCGGCGGUUGGGGAUGGACUCGCGGCUUAUCAGCUUGUUGGUUGGGUAGUGGCUUACCAAGGCUUUGACGGGUAGCCGGCCUGAGAGGGUGACCGGCCACAUUGGGACUGAGAUACGGCACAGACUCCUACGGGAGGCAGCAGUGGGGAAUAUUGCACAAUGGGCGGAAGCCUGAUGCAGCAACGCCGCGUGCGGGAUGACGGCCUUCGGGUUGUAAACCGCUUUCGCCUGUGACGAAGCGUGAGUGACGGUAAUGGGUAAAGAAGCACCGGCUAACUACGUG